Molecule: ribosomal RNA, 465 nt
Filed under: uncultured bacterium
Lineage: Bacteria
Description: partial 16S ribosomal RNA
Rfam family: Bacterial small subunit ribosomal RNA
Source: RNAcentral
CCUACGGGAGGCAGCAGUGGGGAAUAUUUCGCAAUGGGCGAAAGCCUGACGCAGCGACGCCGCGUGAGGGAUGAAGGUCUUCGGAUCGUAAACCUCUGUCAGCAGGGAAGAACGGUCACUGUGCUAAUCAGCAGUGAAUUGACGGUACCUGCAAAGGAAGCACCGGCUAACUCCGUGCCAGCAGCCGCGGUAAUACGGAGGGUGCGGACGUUAAUCGGAAUUACUGGGCGUAAAGCGCUCGUAGGCGGUAUGUCAAGUCAAGGGUGAAAGCCCCGCGCUCAACGUGGGAACUGCCUUUGAAACUGGGAAACUUGAGUGUGUGAGAGGAUAGUGGAAUUCCAGGUGUAGGAGUGAAAUCCGUAGAUAUCUGGAGGAACAUCAGUGGCGAAGGCGACUAUCUGGAACAUAACUGACGCUGAGGAGCGAAAGCGUGGGUAGCAAACAGGAUUAGAUACCCUAGUAGUC